This 497-nucleotide ribosomal RNA is filed under the name uncultured bacterium. RNAcentral describes it as "partial 16S ribosomal RNA". It matches the Rfam family "Bacterial small subunit ribosomal RNA", at positions 28 to 507 of the family's 1533-position model. The record is from RNAcentral.
GAUGAACGCUGGCGGCGUGCCUAACACAUGCAAGUCGAGCGAACAGACGAGGAUCUUGCUUUUCUCACGUUAGGCGCGGACGUGUGAGUAACACGUGGAUAACCGACCUAUAAGACUGCGAUAUACUCGGGAAACCGGAGCAAAUACCGGAUAAUAUAUUGAACAACAUGGUUCAAUAGUAAAAGACGGUUUUGAUGUCACUUAUGGAUGGAUCUGCGCCGCAUUAGCUAGUUGGUAAGGUAAGGGCUUACCAAGGCGACGAUGCGUAGCCGACCUGAGAGGGUGAUCGGCCACACGGGAACUGAGACACGGUCCAGACUCCUACGGUAGGCCGCAGUAGGGAAUCUUCCGCAAUGGGCGAAAGCCUGACAGAGCAACGCCGCGUGAGUGAUGAAGGUCUUCGGAUCGUAAAACUCUGUUAUUAGGGGAGAACAAAUGUGUAAGUAACUAUGCACAUCUUGACGGUACCUAAUCAGGAAGCCACGGCUAACUACGUG